AUGCUGGAGAAAUAUAUCAAUCGACACAAACCAAGAAAAAAAACUAAUAAGACAAACCUCCAACAUUACCGAGUAGAGUGUCUUAAUUCUGUUAUUGACUGGCAACUUCAAGAGUUUGAUGACCGUUUCAAUGAGGUAAAUUCUGCAUUACUUGGUCACAUGUCUUCUUUCAACCCAAACGAUGGAUUUGUUGCUUUUAACUUGAAUAGCUUAGUGAAGCUAGCUGAGUUUUAUCCAGAUGAUUUUGAUACAAAAAAAUGGAUGAUUUUGAUCCUGAACUGCGCAUUUACAUUGAUAAUGUGCGAGCGGAUGAAAGGUUUGCUAAUUUGGACGAGAUUACUAAUCUUGCGAAGUUAA
RNAcentral lists this ribosomal RNA (357 nucleotides) under Triticum aestivum (bread wheat). RNAcentral describes it as "partial small subunit ribosomal RNA". Lineage: Eukaryota; Viridiplantae; Streptophyta; Magnoliopsida; Poales; Poaceae. The record is from RNAcentral.